CGGGGGGCGGGGCUCUUUACCGGGUCUCUGAGACUAGUCUGCAAGCAUGCUGCGGGGUCUCCAUCUCCAUCAUUCAGAUCCUGCAGCGAGUAGGCGGAGCUGAGCAGCUGCAGGUGCGGAUCGAGUGAGCCGUCGCCCGGCACCACGGCGGCCCCUCGGGCGGAGAGCGCCAUCCGCGCCACCCGCGCCAGGCGGCCGCGGGAAGGACCGUGGGGCCCCGCAGUGCCCAGAGACCGCGGCGGGGGGCGCAGGCGGGACGGCCCGGACCCCUCCAUUUUAGGUCUCCUCCGCGGAGGGCCCCAGGUACCAUAUCCCAUACCGCAAAAAACCUUCACAGCCGAGUCCUUUUCCACUGCAUCCAGAGAAUCACCAGAGUCUGGCAAACCUGUUGCCUCCCAUUGGCCAGAAAGGGGGAACACUCGAAAGAGGGGAUGUUACCGCAGGAUUUACCAGGCCCUGUGCAGGAAGCCACCUGAGAUGUAACCUGAACCCUGAGUGGGAGAGGAUUGGGCCAGUGAGCCACCAGGAAGGUCCCAUGAGGGGCUCCCUGCAGCACCUGCGAUCACACUCUCCAGACCCAGAAGCCCAUCCACCAGCCAUGAGCAGCCUGGCAGCUGUGUACCACAGGAUCUGGGGAAGUGGUCUUGCUCUUCUAGGUGAUGGCUCACCACUUCUGAGAUCAUUUCAAGAUGGAUCCCUACAUAGAGAUGCAGUUCCUGUAGCAGCCGGGGGAGCAGCCGAGUGAAGAGCCUACCUAGAAGAAAGGCCCUUCUGGUAGAGGCCUAGAGGGGUGGCGUGGCUCAGGUCUUCUGGCCCUUCCAUAGAAAAGAUGCCAGUGUACUUUGGGCACUGAUAUCUCCUAGCAACACUGUGAGGGAGAGGUAUUCUCCCACCUCAGGAACUCAGCAGGGCUCAAUGAAAGGCGUGGGAUUUGCCCUUGUUACACAGAAUAGUGGGGAGCUUGGCCUGCCCUGGACCUCCAUUCCCCCACCUCCUCUGCAGUCUUCUUUGUGACCUGGCAGGACAUUGGGGUUGGGAGGGAGUAGAGAGCUGCCAGGGGACCUAGGGAGAAAGAGACACCAUGGGGUAGGGAAGCUGGGCAUCUACCUUUCCUGGGAGUGGUCUAGAAGACAGGCCAGUAGUUGAGUUCAUGAACAGAGAGGAAGGUUCGAGAACUUCCUGAAAUGUCUAGUCCUCCCUGCCUCUCUGGUGCUUGACCAAGGACUCCUGAGCAGUUGUGUGCUAGUGGACUGCAAAUGUGGUUCAUGGGAGGCUGAGGAACUACGGGCUGAAACCCAUGGUUUGUAUGGCCCUGUUUCUCUGUUCCUAGACUUGCAGCCCCAUCCCCAGCAUCACAUGGGAAAAAUCUCCUCCAGAUAGGUGGAGGACAGUCUGUCCAGGAGGCCCUGCAUAGGCUAGAGUCUCCAAAUGCCCAAGGACAGCCCAAGGGAUACUUUUACUACUUAUCCAACACUCCCCCAGCUUUUCUGAUGCUGGUAUCUCAAGGUCCGUGCAUUCCAUUCCUGAUGCAGAAACCUUCAGCAUGCCAGCCAGCCCCAGGGACAGAGUGACCCAUCUGCCUACUUGGAGUCAGAGACCCAAAUGGAGAUCUGUCUCAGCUGAAGGACACAAGCUGAAAGGUGGCUGCCACAUGUUCUCCGCUCUUUGCCAUAGCCCAGGACCCGAUGGUUUCCUUCUGCCAAGUCUCGCUGAGUAGUCUGUAUAUGUAUGUUUGAAUGCAUGUGUGCACGCCUGUGUGUAAACAUGUGUGAUGGAGAUGGAGCUGUUGGGUAGCGACAAGAGCUCCUGGGAAUCUCCUGUUUUCUGUGUACAGGAGGGAUCAUGGACUACUUGGAGAAAUGGGUAUGGAGUCUGAGGCUCUGCCUUCUUAGACCUCCCAGUCCAGGGAAGCCCCUCCCUGCUCAUGCUCAGGCAUGGACUAUGGUGUGAGGUCAGAGGCACUGGCAUUGGACUGGAUUCUGGGCCCAGUGGCGUCAGUCAGGAGACGGGGAUAGAAGGAGGACUCAGCUUUGUGUUCCUGUCCCAUUCUGGCCCUGAGUAGUCUGAGCUUCUGCGUCCCCCCCUCCCCCUGGGCUCCUUUUGUUCCUCCAUGGUGCCCUCGCUGUGUGAUGGGGUGGUGAUGCACUUUAUUUCCUUGCAGUCUGCAUUGCAGGCUGCGGAGCUUCGAUCAGUUCGGAGACUUGACCUGGAUGAGCGUACAUUUCCUUGUGUGAUGAACUCCGCAUUGCCAGUGUUGUCUGGUCAGAGAUGCAGUUCCGAUGUUGUCACUUGUUGUUGUCUCCCAAAGUUAGAAGAAAAUCCUCGAGUUCAGUACACCAAAUACUGCCUGCACGCCUCCUGUUUUUCUUGGGUGCCAUACCGUACCUGGGUGGGGAAGUGGGUGGGGUACGGGACAGCAAGCUCCAAGCCCAGAGGGUCAUCCAGAGCUGUGCAGGCAAAGUGCAGCUUCAGAGCUUCCGUCUAGACUGUCCUUGACAGGACCACCACCCUCUGCUCCCCCUGACCAAGGGGGUAACAGUCGAGCCGGCCCUGAAGGUGGCAGUUAUUCCUGUCCAGUAUUCAGGGAAAGAAGCUGAAGCAAAGGUUCUCGUUCUUUCCAGGUCUGGACUCAAUGUGUUUAAUUCCAGUAGAACCUCGAGAGUGAGGAGAAAUGCAACAGCGCUCUGCAGGCCCCUCUGUGACGCCCAGAGACCAGUCCCUCUGCAGCAGCAGGCGGAGUAACUGGAAGAGGGAUUCUCAGGACCCUAGCCUGUACAGCUUGUCCACUGGCGUCAUGGAGACUGCUCUCCAGUUGUAGUUGGGCCGGAUGCUCUGCACUACCACCACGUUGACAACAUGGCCUACAAGAGGGGUGUAGCCCACGGGGCACUUCAGUGAGUGGAAGGUGAAAAAGAUGGUGUGAUUCAGCACUCCUUGUCGUUUGUGGAUACUAGUCACGCAGACCUGUCAAGAGAAAGCGUGGCAGUGAGUGUGGGAAAACUGGGUCCCUGGACAGCCUCUGUCCCUCCACACUCUAGCUCCAAACACUUGUUGACCCACUGUGUCGCUGUGUCCUGUCCUACCUGCUACACUGCCAACACUGGGGUGUGUGUCACCCACUUCCUUCCCCGACUCCAACCUCACACCAAUUAAAGAGGAGACUCUUCUGGUGGUCUGUCCUGCUGGUGAGAGACCAUGUCCUAAAUAUUAGUCAUCAGUGGCCAUUAGCCCCUGUGGUUAAUGUGGACAGAUCAAGGAUUGACUGAAAAGGAAAAACAGCAGGAAAUGGACUAUUACACCCCCCCCCCCACCACGGCACUCUUCAAGCACAUGACGUCAUCUGUACCUUGUUGGAGACUCAUUUCAGGCUAGCUGAACCACAGCCACAGCCCCAGUCCCAGCCCCAGCCCCACUUUGCAUUCCAACUUUUCCAGCAAUGUUCUCUGGACUGCUCAUCUUUCUUCCUGUUGUGUUUAGAAUGUUCCACAUGACAGUUCUCGUGGUAAGCCCUGUGACUCAGAAUUGAAGGAUGUGUAUAUAUGUUCUCUGUUACCUUUAGCUACUUCUUUACAAAGUCCU
Peromyscus californicus insignis is the source of this 3579-nucleotide RNA transcript. It is a transcript of the gene named small integral membrane protein 10 like 2B, with no coding region annotated. The transcript is spliced from 6 exons. The record is from RefSeq and is a predicted model, not a curated record. Lineage: Eukaryota; Metazoa; Chordata; Mammalia; Rodentia; Cricetidae.